GAUGAACGCUGGCGGCGUGCCUAAUACAUGCAAGUCGAGCGAACGGACGAGAAGCUUGCUUCUCUGAUGUUAGCGGCGGACGGGUGAGUAACACGUGGAUAACCUACCUAUAAGACUGGGAUAACUUCGGGAAACCGGAGCUAAUACCGGAUAAUAUUUUGAACCGCAUGGUUCAAAAGUGAAAGACGGUCUUGCUGUCACUUAUAGAUGGAUCCGCGCUGCAUUAGCUAGUUGGUAAGGUAACGGCUUACCAAGGCAACGAUGCAUAGCCGACCUGAGAGGGUGAUCGGCCACACUGGAACUGAGACACGGUCCAGACGCCUACGGGAGGCAGCAGUAGGGAAUCUUCCGCAAGGGGCGAAAGCCUGACGGAGCAACGCCGCGUGAGUGAUGAAGGUCUUCGGAUCGUAAAACUCUGUUAUUAGGGAAGAACAUAUGUGUAAGUAACUGUGCACAUCUUGACGGUACCUAAGCAGAAAGCCACGGCUAACUACGU
This 496-nucleotide ribosomal RNA is filed under the name uncultured bacterium. RNAcentral describes it as "partial 16S ribosomal RNA". It matches the Rfam family "Bacterial small subunit ribosomal RNA", at positions 28 to 506 of the family's 1533-position model. The record is from RNAcentral.